CGCGGCCUAUCAGCUUGUUGGUGGGGUGAUGGCCUACCAAGGCGACGACGGGUAGCCGGCCUGAGAGGGCGACCGGCCACACUGGGACUGAGACACGGCCCAGACUCCUACGGGAGGCAGCAGUGGGGAAUAUUGCACAAUGGGCGGAAGCCUGAUGCAGCGACGCCGCGUGAGGGAUGACGGCCUUCGGGUUGUAAACCUCUUUCAGCAGGGACGAAGCCGUGAGGUGACGGUACCUGCAGAAGAAGCGCCGGCCAACUACGUGCCAGCAGCCGCGGUAAGACGUAGGGCGCGAGCGUUGUCCGGAUUUAUUGGGCGUAAAGAGCUCGUAGGCGGCUUGUCGCGUCGACUGUGAAAACCCGCGGCUCAACUGCGGGCCUGCAGCCGAUACGGGCAGGCUAGAGUUCGGUAGGGGAGACUGGAAUUCCUGGUGUAGCGGUGAAAUGCGCAGAUAUCAGGAGGAACACCGGUGGCGAAGGCGGGUCUCUGGGCCGAUACUGACGCUGAGGAGCGAAAGCGUGGGGAGCGAACAGGAUUAGAUACCCUGGUAGUCCACGCUGUAAACGUUGGGCGCUAGGUGUGGGGGGCCUCUCCGGUUUCCUGUGCCGCAGCUAACGCAUUAAGCGCCCCGCCUGGGGAGUACGG
Molecule: ribosomal RNA, 645 nt
Filed under: uncultured actinomycete
Lineage: Bacteria; Bacillati; Actinomycetota; Actinomycetes; Actinomycetales
Description: bacterial SSU rRNA
Rfam family: Bacterial small subunit ribosomal RNA
Source: RNAcentral